GCCCUGCCUCUGGCCCUUCCCGGGCCGCUGCCCCCUCAGCCAUGUGGCACUUCUUAGCUCCUGACCUAGACCAAGGAGUGGUCUCUGCCCCCUUCCCUGGCCCUGGGCUACCCUUGGGUCCUGCUCCUCAGGCAGCUCCCCUGUCCCUGGCCCUGGGGAGGAGGCUGCCCUGGUCAUGGCCACCUGCCUGUCAUUCCUGACUCACCACCAUCCCCAGGUGUACCAUUCCUGCCUUCUCCUCAGCCGCUGUUGAAGGCUUUAACUUUGCAUACUUUGGG
This 278-nucleotide long non-coding RNA is filed under the name Homo sapiens (human). Its description in RNAcentral is "non-protein coding lnc-BTD-4:1". Lineage: Eukaryota; Metazoa; Chordata; Mammalia; Primates; Hominidae. The record is from RNAcentral.